GAGAGCCAGGUCUGCCUUGGAGCAAUGGCUGCGUUCAGAGCUGGCGGAAAGGGCUUUUUUGGGGUCUGCUGAUGAUGCUCAGGACGACUUAGCAUGUUCUAGAGCCAGGCUGGCUGCCCUCCUGCACCCAGGGCUCUGGAUGCUUUCACACGAGGCGCCGUUUGGUUGCUGAGGGCCUUAUCCACGCUUUUUGCCCCUCCCACGCCGCAGCAGCAGUAGUUACUAUGAGGAGCUGGAGACGACUUAAGCAGAUAAGGUGUAAGAGAAAAGCCAAAGAGAACACCCGAUUUGAUCUCUACAGACAAGACUUUCUUGAGAGAAACAGCGAGAGACCUCAGCUUUCCCACAGGAUGAAGGCUGAAGCAUUAUAUGAUUUUGCUAGGGUGCAAAUUUAUAAGGAGAAUCCUAAGAAAAACAGACUGGACCAGGGAAGGCUAUUAACCCUUCAAGGUGUUUGCCUGGGAAGCCUAAGGACCCAAG
Molecule: long non-coding RNA, 480 nt
Organism: Jaculus jaculus (lesser Egyptian jerboa)
Lineage: Eukaryota; Metazoa; Chordata; Mammalia; Rodentia; Dipodidae
Exons: 3
Source: RefSeq, a predicted model, not a curated record